GUACACAAAAAUGCACAUACUGUGAGCUCGAUGAGUAGGGCGGGACACGUGGUAUCCUGUCUGAAUAUGGGGGGACCAUCCUCCAAGGCUAAAUACUCCUGACUGACCGAUAGUGAACCAGUACCGUGAGGGAAAGGCGAAAAGAACCCCGGCGAGGGGAGUGAAAAAGAACCUGAAACCGUGUACGUACAAGCAGUGGGAGCCUCUUAAUGGGGUGACUGCGUACCUUUUGUAUAAUGGGUCAGCGACUUAUAUUCUGUAGCAAGGUUAACCGAAUAGGGGAGCCGAAGGGAAACCGAGUCUUAACUGGGCGUUAAGUUGCAGGGUAUAGACCCGAAACCCGGUGAUCUAGCCAUGGGCAGGUUGAAGGUUGGGUAACACUAACUGGAGGACCGAACCGACUAAUGUUGAAAAAUUAGCGGAUGACUUGUGGCUGGGGGUGAAAGGCCAAUCAAACCGGGAGAUAGCUGGUUCUCCCCGAAAGCUAUUUAGGUAGCGCCUCGUGAAUUCAUCUCCGGGGGUAGAGCACUGUUUCGGCAAGGGGGUCAUCCCGACUUACCAACCCGAUGCAAACUGCGAAUACCGGAGAAUGUUAUCACGGGAGACACACGGCGGGUGCUAACGUCCGUCGUGAAGAGGGAAACAACCCAGACCGCCAGCUAAGGUCCCAAAGUCAUGGUUAAGUGGGAAACGAUGUGGGAAGGCCCAGACAGCCAGGAUGUUGGCUUAGAAGCAGCCAUCAUUUAAAGAAAGCGUAAUAGCUCACUGGUCGAGUCGGCCUGCGCGGAAGAUGUAACGGGGCUAAACCAUGCACCGAAGCUGCGGCAGCGACACUAUGUGUUGUUGGGUAGGGGAGCGUUCUGUAAGCCUGUGAAGGUGUACUGUGAGGUAUGCUGGAGGUAUCAGAAGUGCGAAUGCUGACAUAAGUAACGAUAAAGCGGGUGAAAAGCCCGCUCGCCGGAAGACCAAGGGUUCCUGUCCAACGUUAAUCGGGGCAGGGUGAGUCGACCCCUAAGGCGAGGCCGAAAGGCGUAGUCGAUGGGAAACAGGUUAAUAUUCCUGUACUUGGUGUUACUGCGAAGGGGGGACGGAGAAGGCUAUGUUGGCCGGGCGACGGUUGUCCCGGUUUAAGCGUGUAGGCUGGUUUUCCAGGCAAAUCCGGAAAAUCAAGGCUGAGGCGUGAUGACGAGGCACUACGGUGCUGAAGCAACAAAUGCCCUGCUUCCAGGAAAAGCCUCUAAGCAUCAGGUAACAUCAAAUCGUACCCCAAACCGACACAGGUGGUCAGGUAGAGAAUACCAAGGCGCUUGAGAGAACUCGGGUGAAGGAACUAGGCAAAAUGGUGCCGUAACUUCGGGAGAAGGCACGCUGAUAUGUAGGUGAAGUCCCUUGCGGAUGGAGCUGAAAUCAGUCGAAGAUACCAGCUGGCUGCAACUGUUUAUUAAAAACACAGCACUGUGCAAACACGAAAGUGGACGUAUACGGUGUGACGCCUGCCCGGUGCCGGAAGGUUAAUUGAUGGGGUUAGCGGUAACGCGAAGCUCUUGAUCGAAGCCCCGGUAAACGGCGGCCGUAACUAUAACGGUCCUAAGGUAGCGAAAUUCCUUGUCGGGUAAGUUCCGACCUGCACGAAUGGCGUAAUGAUGGCCAGGCUGUCUCCACCCGAGACUCAGUGAAAUUGAACUCGCUGUGAAGAUGCAGUGUACCCGCGGCAAGACGGAAAGACCCCGUGAACCUUUACUAUAGCUUGACACUGAACAUUGAGCCUUGAUGUGUAGGAUAGGUGGGAGGCUUUGAAGUGUGGACGCCAGUCUGCAUGGAGCCGGCCUUGAAAUACCACCCUUUAAUGUUUGAUGUUCUAACGUUGGCCCCUGAUCGGGGUUGCGGACAGUGUCUGGUGGGUAGUUUGACUGGGGCGGUCUCCUCCUAAAGAGUAACGGAGGAGCACGAAGGUUGGCUAAUCCUGGUCGGACAUCAGGAGGUUAGUGCAAUGGCAUAAGCCAGCUUGACUGCGAGCGUGACGGCGCGAGCAGGUGCGAAAGCAGGUCAUAGUGAUCCGGUGGUUCUGAAUGGAAGGGCCAUCGCUCAACGGAUAAAAGGUACUCCGGGGAUAACAGGCUGAUACCGCCCAAGAGUUCAUAUCGACGGCGGUGUUUGGCACCUCGAUGUCGGCUCAUCACAUCCUGGGGCUGAAGUAGGUCCCAAGGGUAUGGCUGUUCGCCAUUUAAAGUGGUACGCGAGCUGGGUUUAGAACGUCGUGAGACAGUUCGGUCCCUAUCUGCCGUGGGCGCUGGAGAACUGAGGGGGGCUGCUCCUAGUACGAGAGGACCGGAGUGGACGCAUCACUGGUGUUCGGGUUGUCAUGCCAAUGGCACUGCCCGGUAGCUAAAUGCGGAAGAGAUAAGUGCUGAAAGCAUCUAAGCACGAAACUUGCCCC
This 2437-nucleotide ribosomal RNA is filed under the name Escherichia coli. Its description in RNAcentral is "partial 23S ribosomal RNA". It matches the Rfam family "Bacterial large subunit ribosomal RNA", at positions 375 to 2800 of the family's 2925-position model. The record is from RNAcentral. Lineage: Bacteria; Pseudomonadati; Pseudomonadota; Gammaproteobacteria; Enterobacterales; Enterobacteriaceae.